UGUGGGAGCGGGCUUGCUCGCGAUGCACUUGAUGCAGUUGAUCUGAUUCACCGCAUUGAGCCUUUCGCGAGCAAGCCCGCUCCCACA
This 87-nucleotide unclassified non-coding RNA is filed under the name Pseudomonas psychrophila. The record is from RNAcentral. Lineage: Bacteria; Pseudomonadati; Pseudomonadota; Gammaproteobacteria; Pseudomonadales; Pseudomonadaceae.